CCUUCGAUAGCUCAGUUGGUAGAGCGGGGGACUGUAGAUUUAUAAUUGUGAUCCCUAGGUCGCUGGUUCGAAUCCGGCUCGAAGAC
Non-coding RNA from Nematostella vectensis (starlet sea anemone), 86 nucleotides. Lineage: Eukaryota; Metazoa; Cnidaria; Anthozoa; Actiniaria; Edwardsiidae. The record is from Rfam.